GACGAACGCUGGCGGCGUGCUUAACACAUGCAAGUCGAGCGGUAAGGCCCUUUCGGGGGUACGACGAGCGGCGAACGGGUGAGUAACACGUGGGUGACCUGCCCUCAGCUCUGGGAUAAGCCUGGGAAACCGGGUCUAAUACCGGAUAUGACUCCAUGACGCAUGUUGUGGGGUGGAAAGCCUUGUGCGGCUGAGGAUGGGCCCGCGGCCUAUCAGCUUGUUGGUGGGGGGAU
RNAcentral lists this ribosomal RNA (233 nucleotides) under uncultured bacterium. RNAcentral's name for it is "partial 16S ribosomal RNA". It matches the Rfam family "Bacterial small subunit ribosomal RNA", at positions 28 to 261 of the family's 1533-position model. The record is from RNAcentral.